RNAcentral lists this ribosomal RNA (253 nucleotides) under uncultured bacterium. Its description in RNAcentral is "partial 16S ribosomal RNA". It matches the Rfam family "Bacterial small subunit ribosomal RNA", at positions 524 to 776 of the family's 1533-position model. The record is from RNAcentral.
UACAGAGACUGCAAGCGUUAUUCGGAUUCACUGGGCGUAAAGGGUGCGCAGGCGGCCGUGUGUGUGAGGCGUGAAAGCCCGGGGCUUAACCCCGGAAUUGCACCUCAAACUACAUGGCUAGAGCAUUGGAGAGGGUAGCGGAAUUCACGGUGUAGCAGUGAAAUGCGUAGAUAUCGUGAGGAACACCAGAGGCGAAGGCAGCUACCUGGACAAUUGCUGACGCUCAGGCACGAAAGCUAGGGGAGCAAACAGG